UACGAAGGGGGCUAGCGUUGUUCGGAAUUACUGGGCGUAAAGAGCGCGCAGGCGGUCGUUCAAGUCGCGUGUGAAAGCCCCCCGGCUCAACUGGGGAGGGUCACGCGAUACUGAUCGACUCGAAGGCAGGAGAGGGAAGUGGAAUUCCCGGUGUAGUGGUGAAAUGCGUAGAUAUCGGGAGGAACACCAGUGGCGAAGGCGACUUCCUGGCCUGUUCUUGACGCUGAGGCGCGAAAGCUAGGGGAGCAAACGGGG
Molecule: ribosomal RNA, 255 nt
Filed under: uncultured bacterium
Lineage: Bacteria
Description: partial 16S ribosomal RNA
Rfam family: Bacterial small subunit ribosomal RNA
Source: RNAcentral